GGUGAAACCGCGAAUGGCUCAUUAAAUCAGUCAUUAUUUACUGGCUGAGACUUGAUACAUGGAUACCUGUGGUAAUUCUAGAGCUAAUACAUGCAACCGAGCACUUGCCUGAUCUCUCGGGAUCGGCAUGUUACUUUUAUUGGCUGAAAACCGAUGAUCACCUUGGUGGUCUUCAUCUGUUGAAUCACAAUAACAUUGUGUGGAUCGUACGGUCUAGCACCGACGACGCGCCUUUCAAAUGUCUGCCCUAUCAGCUCUCGACGGUUAGCUAGUGGCUGACCGUGGCUGUGACAGGUAACGGGGAAUCUGGGUUCGAUUCCGGAGAGGGAGCCUGAGAGACGGCUACCACAUCUAAGGAAGGCAGCAGGCACGAAACUUACCCAAUCCCAGUUCAGGGAGGUAGUGACAAUAAAUACCUUACAGAGGUACCGUUCAGCGGUAUCUCUCAAACGGAAUGAGUACAAUAUGAAUCCUUUAACGAGGAUCAACUGGAGGGCAAGCCUGGUGCCAGCAGCCGCGGUAAUUCCAGCUCCAGUAGCGUAUAUUAAAGCUGUUGCGGUUAAAAAGCUCGUAGUUGGAUAUCAGUGCGUGUCCAGUUCCGGUAUGCGCGUCUACUUGUCCUAGUGGCGGUGGCGUGCGUCAAAUAUCGGCUGGCCGCAUUCAAAUGUGCCGGAUCCGUUGACGGGCCGUUCUUUUGAGGGGCCUGUUGGCGACCGGCGAUGUUACCUUGAACAAAUUAGAGUGCUUAAAGCAGGCUAUGUCUGCCUGAAUACAUAUUCAUGGAAUUGGAGAAUACGUCCCUGACUCAAUUUGGUUGGUUUUGUGAGUCGAAGGGAAAUGAUUAAUAGGGACUGACGGAGGCAUUCGU
Molecule: ribosomal RNA, 868 nt
Filed under: Sacculina pilosella
Lineage: Eukaryota; Metazoa; Arthropoda; Thecostraca; Sacculinidae
Description: SSU rRNA
Rfam family: Eukaryotic small subunit ribosomal RNA
Source: RNAcentral